RNAcentral lists this ribosomal RNA (506 nucleotides) under uncultured bacterium. RNAcentral's name for it is "partial 16S ribosomal RNA". It matches the Rfam family "Bacterial small subunit ribosomal RNA", at positions 29 to 523 of the family's 1533-position model. The record is from RNAcentral.
AGUGAACGCUGGCGGUAGGCCUAACACAUGCAAGUCGAACGGCAGCACAGGAGAGCUUGCUCUCUGGGUGGCGAGUGGCGGACGGGUGAGGAAUACAUCGGAAUCUACUCUGUCGUGGGGGAUAACGUAGGGAAACUUACGCUAAUACCGCAUACGACCUACGGGUGAAAGCAGGGGACCUUCGGGCCUUGCGCGAUGGAAUGAGCCGAUGUCGGAUUAGCUAGUUGGCGGGGUAAAGGCCUACCAAGGCGACGAUCCGUAGCUGGUCUGAGAGGAUGAUCAGCCACACUGGAACUGAGACACGGUCCAGACUCCUACGGGAGGCAGCAGUGGGGAAUAUUGGACAAUGGGCGCAAGCCUGAUCCAGCCAUACCGCGUGGGUGAAGAAGGCCUUCGGGUUGUAAAGCCCUUUUGUUGGGAAAGAAAUCCAGCUGGCUAAUACCCGGUUGGGAUGACGGUACCCAAAGAAUAAGCACCGGCCAACUUCGUGCCAGCAGCCGCGGUAA